This 365-nucleotide unclassified non-coding RNA is filed under the name soil metagenome. RNAcentral's name for it is "partial contains 5.8S ribosomal RNA, internal transcribed spacer 2, and large subunit ribosomal RNA". The stretch from base 1 to 120 matches the Rfam family "5.8S ribosomal RNA", at positions 35 to 154 of the family's 154-position model. The record is from RNAcentral.
GAUGAAGAACGUAGCGAAAUGCGAUAAGUAAUGUGAAUUGCAGAAUUCAGUGAAUCAUCGAAUCUUUGAACGCACAUUGCGCCCAUUAGUAUUCUAGUGGGCAUGCCUGUUCGAGCGUCAUUAAGUCCACUUAAGCCUAGCUUAGUGUUGGGAGUCUACUUACGCGGUGCUACCUAGUAGUUACCCUGUAGUUCCUUAAAGACAGCGGCGGAGUUGUAAUACCCUCUGAGCUUAGUAAUUUUUUCUAGCUUUCGAGUCGUUACUUCCCCUGCCGUUAAACCUUCUACUUCGGUAGUAUUUUAAUGGUUGACCUCGGAUCAGGUAGGAAUACCCGCUGAACUUAAGCAUAUCAAUAAGCGGAGGAA